CUGGAAUGUCUCUCUCUUCUGGCCUCAUGUCUGAAGCAAAGACCCUAGGUAAAGGUACUGAACGUAGUCUGGAGAGUGUACUGCAUGCAAGUAAACAGAAGGUCACUGCAAUUGAAAGCAUGCUUAGAGGUUUGGAAGUGUCAGACAAACAGAAUCCUUCAGCUCUUCGGUCAUCCAGUUUGGAUCUCGGAGUUGACCCUCCAUCAUCUCGUGAUCCACCAUUCCCUGCUGCUGUUCCAGCUUCUAAUCCGCUCUCAAACUCUCC
This 265-nucleotide unclassified non-coding RNA is filed under the name Hevea brasiliensis (rubber tree). The record is from RNAcentral. Lineage: Eukaryota; Viridiplantae; Streptophyta; Magnoliopsida; Malpighiales; Euphorbiaceae.